This 449-nucleotide ribosomal RNA is filed under the name uncultured prokaryote. RNAcentral describes it as "bacterial SSU rRNA". It matches the Rfam family "Bacterial small subunit ribosomal RNA", at positions 355 to 796 of the family's 1533-position model. The record is from RNAcentral.
UAGGGAAUAUUGUGCAAUGGGCGAAAGCCUGACACAGCCAUGCCGCGUGUGUGAAGAAGGCCCUAGGGUUGUAAAGCACUUUCAGUGGCGAAGAAAAACGCCAUGCUAAUACCAUGGUGUCUUGACGUUAACCACAGAAGAAGUACCGGCUAACUCCGUGCCAGCAGCCGCGGUAAUACGGAGGGUACGAACGUUAAUCGGAAUUACUGGGCGUAAAGCGCGCGUAGGCGGUUCGGUAAGUGAGGUGUGAAAUCCCCGGGCUCAACCUGGGAACUGCGCUUCAAACUGGCGGACUAGAGUGUAGUAGAGGGAGGCGGAAUUUCCUGUGUAGCGGUGAAAUGCGUAGAUAUAGGAAGGAACACCAGUGGCGAAGGCGGCCUCCUGGACUAACACUGACGCUGAGGCGCGAAAGCGUGGGGAGCAAACAGGAUUAGAUACCCCCGUAGUCC